This 22-nucleotide microRNA is filed under the name Mus musculus (house mouse). RNAcentral's name for it is "Mmu-Mir-192-P2_3p* (star (passenger))". RNAcentral also lists the same sequence under 1 other name. Lineage: Eukaryota; Metazoa; Chordata; Mammalia; Rodentia; Muridae. The record is from RNAcentral.
UCUGUCAUUCUGUAGGCCAAUA